GCGGCCUAUCAGCUUGUUGGUGGGGUAAUGGCUCACCAAGGCGACGACGGGUAGCCGGCCUGAGUGGGCGACCGGCCACACUGGGACUGAGACACGGCCCAGACUCCUACGGGAGGCAGCAGUGGGGAAUCUUGCGCAAUGGGCGAAAGCCUGACGCAGCAACGCCGCGUGCGGGAUGAAGGCCUUCGGGUUGUAAACCGCUUUCAGCAGGAACGAAAAUGACGGUACCUGCAGAAGAAGGAGCGGCCAACUACGUGCCAGCAGCCGCGGUGACACGUAGGCUCCAAGCGUUGUCCGGAUUUAUUGGGCGUAAAGAGCUCGUAGGCGGUUUAGUAAGUCGGGUGUUAAAACUCUGGGCUCAACCCGGAGACGCCAUCCGAUACUACUAUGACUUGAGUUCAGGAGGGGAGACUGGAAUUCCU
This 422-nucleotide ribosomal RNA is filed under the name uncultured Actinomycetes bacterium. RNAcentral describes it as "bacterial SSU rRNA". It matches the Rfam family "Bacterial small subunit ribosomal RNA", at positions 233 to 671 of the family's 1533-position model. The record is from RNAcentral. Lineage: Bacteria; Bacillati; Actinomycetota; Actinomycetes.